Molecule: ribosomal RNA, 784 nt
Filed under: uncultured bacterium
Lineage: Bacteria
Description: bacterial SSU rRNA
Rfam family: Bacterial small subunit ribosomal RNA
Source: RNAcentral
AGUGGCGAACUGGUGAGUAACACGUGGGUCCCCUGCACUUGAAGUAGGGGAUAACACUUGGAAACAGGUGCUAAUACCGUAUAACAACCAAAACCACCUGGUUUUGGUUUAAAAGAUGGCUUCGGCUAUCACUUUAGGAUGGACCCGCGGCGUAUUAGCUUGUUGGUAAGGUAACGGCCUACCAAGGCAAUGAUACGUAGCCGACCUGAGAGGGUAAUCGGCCACAUUGGGACUGAGACACGGCCCAAACUCCUACGGGAGGCAGCAGUAGGGAAUCUUCCACAAUGGACGAAAGUCUGAUGGAGCAACGCCGCGUGAGUGAUGAAGGGUUUCGGCUCGUAAAACUCUGUUGUUGGAGAAGAACAGGUGUGAGAGUAACUGUUCACAUCUUGACGGUAUCCAACCAGAAAGCCACGGCUAACUACGUGCCAGCAGCCGCGGUAAUACGUAGGUGGCAAGCGUUGUCCGGAUUUAUUGGGCGUAAAGCGAGCGCAGGCGGUUUCUUAGGUCUGAUGUGAAAGCCUUCGGCUUAACCGGAGAAGUGCAUCGGAAACCAGGAGACUUGAGUGCAGAAGAGGACAGUGGAACUCCAUGUGUAGCGGUGAAAUGCGUAGAUAUAUGGAAGAACACCAGUGGCGAAGGCGGCUGUCUGGUCUGUAACUGACGCUGAGGCUCGAAAGCAUGGGUAGCGAACAGGAUUAGAUACCCUGGUAGUCCAUGCCGUAAACGAUGAGUGCUAAGUGUUGGAGGGUUUCCGCCCUUCAGUGCUGCAGCUAACGCAUUA